This is a long non-coding RNA of Gossypium arboreum, 459 nucleotides long. RefSeq lists it as uncharacterized. The transcript is spliced from 2 exons. The record is from RefSeq and is a predicted model, not a curated record. Lineage: Eukaryota; Viridiplantae; Streptophyta; Magnoliopsida; Malvales; Malvaceae.
GAAAUGUCAAAGAUGUUUUUAGAUAUGGAUGUUUCGGUUUUUGUGCAUGUUUAUAUCACCUAGAUAAUAAUUUCUAGUCCACCUUAUCUUUGGAGAAAGGACCGAGUUCAACUUCAGCUAGAAAAUGGUCUUGGCCUUGAGUUGAAUAACAUUUGUGGAAAUGAUUGGGUGUUCAGCGAUGGUGAUCGAGGUAACUUCUCAGGGUUUGGCUCCUUCCAAUGCCUAAAAACUGGUAGUAGACUGAAAAUGGUGAGCAUAUGUAGAAGGGUGAUCGAACUAAUAUAUAAAUGUCCUUGUGCAAAAUAUAAUAUGUAGAAGGGUUUGGCUGGUGUUUUAGCAUGGAAAGAUCCAUGUCUUGGUUCCUUCCCUUAAGAUUGCAGAGAUUCUGUAACAUAACACGCCUUUCUAGGUUGUAUUAAUUGGUAAUCAAAAUAACACUCCUUAUGUUGAGAAGGAUAA